UAGUCCACGCCGUAAACGAUGGAUACUAGCUGUCGGGACUUCGGUCUCGGCGGCCAAGCGAAAGUGAUAAGUAUCCCACCUGGGGAGUACGAUCGCAAGAUUGAAACUCAAAGGAAUUGACGGGGGCCCGCACAAGCGGUGGAGCAUGUGGUUUAAUUCGAUGAUACGCGAGGAACCUUACCAGGGCUUAAAUGUAGGAUGCAUUAGGUAGAGAUACUUAUUUCUUCGGACUUCUUACAAGGUGCUGCAUGGUUGUCGUCAGCUCGUGCCGUGAGGUGUCAGGUUAAGUCCUAUAACGAGCGCAACCCCUGUUGUUAGUUGCCAGCGAGUCAAGUCGGGAACUCUAGCAAGACUGCCGGUGCAAACCGCGAGGAAGGUGGGGACGACGUCAAAUCAUCACGGCCCUUACGUCCUGGGCCACACACGUGCUACAAUGGCCGGUACAGAGGGAAGCCACCACGUAAGUGGGCGCGGAUCUAUAAAACCGGACACAGUUCGGAUCGGGGUCUGCAACUCGA
RNAcentral lists this ribosomal RNA (518 nucleotides) under uncultured bacterium. RNAcentral's name for it is "bacterial SSU rRNA". It matches the Rfam family "Bacterial small subunit ribosomal RNA", at positions 791 to 1315 of the family's 1533-position model. The record is from RNAcentral.